This 843-nucleotide ribosomal RNA is filed under the name uncultured Gracilibacter sp. RNAcentral describes it as "bacterial SSU rRNA". It matches the Rfam family "Bacterial small subunit ribosomal RNA", at positions 8 to 859 of the family's 1533-position model. Lineage: Bacteria; Bacillati; Bacillota; Clostridia; Eubacteriales; Gracilibacteraceae. The record is from RNAcentral.
AGAGUUUGAUCAUGGCUCAGGACGAACGCUGGCGGCGUGCCUAACACAUGCAAGUCGAGCGGAGAUAAGCGGAUGGUAACUGAUAUCUACUUUAGCGGCGGACGGGUGAGUAACACGUGGGCAACCUGCCUCGAAGUGGGGGAUAACACCGAGAAAUCGGUGCUAAUACCGCAUAACAUACAGACACCACCUGGUGACAGUAUCAAAGGAGUAAUCCGCUUUGAGAUGGGCCCGCGGCUGAUUAGCUAGUUGGUGAGGUAAUGGCUCACCAAGGCGACGAUCAGUAGCCGACCUGGGAGGGUGACCGGCCACACUGGAACUGAGACACGGUCCAGACUCCUACGGGAGGCAGCAGUGGGGAAUAUUGCGCAAUGGGGGAAACCCUGACGCAGCAACGCCGCGUGGAGAAAGAAGGUCUUCGGAUUGUAAACUCCUGUCUUCUGGUACGAUAAUGACGGUACCAGAGGAGGAAGCCACGGCUAACUACGUGCCAGCAGCCGCGGUAAUACGUAGGUGGCGAGCGUUGUCCGGAAUUACUGGGCGUAAAGGGCGCGUAGGCGGUUCUUUAAGUUAGAUGUGAAAACCCAGGGCUUAACUUUGGGAGUGCAUUUAAAACUGAAGGGCUCGAGUGCAGGAGAGGUAAGUGGAAUUCCUAGUGUAGCGGUGAAAUGCGUAGAUAUUAGGAGGAACACCAGUGGCGAAGGCGACUUACUGGACUGUAACUGACGCUGAGGCGCGAAAGCGUGGGGAGCAAACAGGAUUAGAUACCCUGGUAGUCCACGCUGUAAACGAUGGAUACUAGGUGUGGGAAGGAUCGACCCCCUCCGUGCCGCAGUUAACGCA